CCCGACAGCCUCUGCACGCGCGAACAGCCUUGACCAGCCUCUGCACGCGCGACCAGCCUUGACCAGCCUCUGCACGUGCGAACAGCCUUGACCAGCCACUGCACGCGCGGACAGCCUUGACCAGCCUCUGCACGCGCGGACAGCCUUGACCAGCCUCUGCACGCGCGACCAGCAAUGACCAGCCUCUGCACGCGCGACCAGCCUUGACCAGCCUCUGCACGCGCGACCAGCAUUGACCAGCCUCUGCACGCGCGACCAGCCUUGACCAGCCUCUGCACGCGCGACCAGCCUUGACCAGCCUCUGCACGCGCGACCAGCCUUGACCAGCCUCUGCACGCGCGACCAGCCUUGAGCAGCCUCUGCAUGCGCGAUCGGCACGGGCUACCAUCAAUUUUACACCAUCAAGCCACGCACCACUGACACUCACGCCUCGAUCUUUUUUCUCGCAGGCUUGAACACAAGUGAGGUUUUUACUACUACGAAACCAUUAAUUAUAAGAAGUUACAGUGAACAUCAAAGUUUCAGUGACAACAAACUUCUUUGAAAUGCGCCUCGUUUAACGUCUCCACGCAGAUUCCGUCCGUUCGGUUGCCAUGCCAACCAUGCGCGCUCUCCUCCCGAGGUGAGACAAGAUGAGGCAGGAACAGGGCAGCGAUGAGACAGACACUAAGGCGACAUGAGGACUGUAAACAAUGAUGCACCGCAGUAAGCGGUUGUGGUACCUCACCCGCGACCAAACACUGACACCACUUCAAAUUUCGAAAAAACCAUACUCGACCACCAAUGUAGUACAACAACACAAUCAACACACUGCUAUUUGUAGUGGGAAAAAUUAAAUAACGUAAGUCGACAGGCGAUAACACACAGAAAGUGAAUAACUUUGGGAGAGGGAAGUUGGCCUGCAAUGACAUGCCUGUUGUGGCGUUGGCGUCAUCACGCACACCUCCCAGCAAUAGAAAUUCCUGUCAGCAACCGUAACCACGCAGACUCAGCUCCUAUCACAUUUACUAACUCCUCCGCGGCUAGCACAAGCAUAGGUACAUGUAUUGGUAUUUGGAGCGACUCAAAUGUACGGAUAUGUGAUUCGCAAAGGUCCAUAGCAGGCACGUAGGCUCGCAAUUACAGACGUCUAUAUACUGGUAUUUCUGAGUAGAACUAACAAGAACAGCCUUAUGGAUACAGGCUUGUAGGUACUGGGAUUUGUGGGAACAGAUAUGUAGGAGAUAGCAUUUGUUAAUGCAGCCUUCUAGGUACUGGGAUUCGUGGGAACAGACAUGUAGGGGAUAGCAUUUGUUAAUGCAGACUUCUAGGUACUGGGAUUCGUGGGAACAGACAUGUAGGGGAUAGCAUUUGUUAAUGCAGACUUCUAGGUACUGGGAUUCGUGGGAACAGACAUGUAGGGGAUAGCAUUUGUUAAUGCAGACUUCUAGGUACUGGGAUUCGUGGGAACAGACAUGUAGGGGAUAGCAUUUGUUAAUGCAGACUUCUAGGUAUUGGGAUUCGUGGGAACAGACAUGUAGGGGAUAGCAUUUGUUAAUGCAGACUUCUAGGUAUUGGGAUUUGUGGGAACAGACAUGUAGGGGAUAGCAUUUGUGUGUACAGACUUGUAGGUACUGGCAUUUGUGGGUAAAGACAUUCAGGUAAAACAAGUCUCUCUGGUCUAACUACCAAGCGGUGCCAGUAUCAACUAGUAUACAGUGCACACUACACCGAGGAGAUGAAGAGCCAUACAGUUGCACCGUACCAACAGAAACUUCGCGACCGAGAGGCAAGGGAGACUACUUUCGGCGUGCGAAGCUGCAACUGCAUAGGGCGCUGCGUCGACUUGCCCUGGUGGACCGCUGACAGGGCAUGAACACAUAGCAGAGGCUGUAACCGCUUGCCCAUCCCCACGUUCGUUGCUGCACGUCUGUAGCGGCGGUCGGCCGUGGGGUCGGGAGAGCGCCGAGUUCUUGGCAUAUAGGUCGGGAGCAGUCGUAGCACCAGUAACAACCAGGGCAGAUAAAACGUGCUGGGGCAUGCCAGCUGCUGCCAGCCGAUCCGCAGUGUAACGCUCACUCUGUCGAAGUCGACGACGUGCAGCAUUGGAAAUGGAAUAAAACUUGUUACUAAGGGAACAUGCACAAAAUGUCAUUUCACAGUUAGGCUGGAAUGGUUGGCAACCGGUUGCAAUGGAUGCAGCAUUACUCACAGCAACACUUGCGAUUCAUAUCUCACUGCCGAAUAAAUAACACUACUGAUAUCUGACUGCAGCACAGAUAUCGUGAGUGAUAUCCGAGAGCAGGGCAGAUAUCUUGAGUGAUACAUUCGAGCAAGAGAUAUCAAAUUUCACAUAAAACCGAUAGCACUCUAUCCACACACAUUUCUACACACGAAUAACCGUGGAGCAUUGUUACACAGCAUUAAAAUAUAUAAACAUACAAUGUGAGAAGCUACAUGUAUGCACUAGAUUUCCAAUAGAGCUACAAGAAGCGACGCAUGUUGGAAAUAAGUAAUUACACAGCCACGCCAAUUAUUAUUAAAGUCAGAUUUGUACAAUCUUGACAAGUUUUAUAUUAUGAUCACCAAUGACUUUCACCUAACCAUAGCAGCUGUUUCUCUCGAGGGGGAUACAGGGACAAAACAAACAGAUGAGACAGCGGCAUCAGGUUCAGUGUAAACUUGAAGUUACCAUCUUUCAGUUACUCACGCCCCAGCCUCCUCGACAAAGUAGGAAUUAUCCUUUUCAAGGCCAGUGUGAAUGAUGGGAGCAAUCGUUCAAGAAGACUCGACUAGAAUUGGACCUACACAGCAACUAACUUCUGCCAAUAUUGCUCCACAGUCGAGUAGGAAAAGCAGGGAGCGCUUCGGUGGGAUUCAACGAUGGAUCGAGUGUGCACGCACGCUUCCUGCUGUUAUCACGUCGCCACGACGACCGACUGUCAUCAGAUAUGAAAGACAGUGUGCUCGUUUACAUCGAGGCACAUGUGAGCGAAUCGUAAGCGAGUACAGAGAAAUUCCAACACAUUUCACAUGUCGAGAGGUGGAAUGGAUUAAAAGGCAAUGGAUUUAAAUGGAAGCGGUCACAGAAAACUCACGUUAAUGCGACUAAUUUUACACGGACCAAGCCAUGAAUACGACUGGGACGAGGACACGUAAUUUUA
This is a long non-coding RNA of Priapulus caudatus, 3143 nucleotides long. RefSeq lists it as uncharacterized. The record is from RefSeq and is a predicted model, not a curated record. Lineage: Eukaryota; Metazoa; Priapulida; Priapulimorpha; Priapulimorphida; Priapulidae. The transcript has 2 exons.